This 78-nucleotide small nucleolar RNA is filed under the name Sorex araneus (European shrew). Lineage: Eukaryota; Metazoa; Chordata; Mammalia; Eulipotyphla; Soricidae. The record is from RNAcentral.
GUUUUAUGAUGACUGCUUAUCACUUCUACUGAGAAUCAACAAUGAAAUUUAAAAGUACCUUUUUAACACUGAAAUAUA